Molecule: ribosomal RNA, 235 nt
Filed under: Fusobacterium necrophorum
Lineage: Bacteria; Fusobacteriati; Fusobacteriota; Fusobacteriia; Fusobacteriales; Fusobacteriaceae
Description: partial 23S ribosomal RNA
Rfam family: Bacterial large subunit ribosomal RNA
Source: RNAcentral
UCCUUGAAAGAGUGCGUAAUAGCUCACUAGUCGAGAGUCUCUGCGCCGACAAUGUAACGGGGCUAAGAUAUGAACCGAAGCUGUGGAUGUCGUAAGACAUGGUAGGAGAGCGUUCUGUAGGCCGUGGAAGGAGGACUGAAAGGAACUCUGGAGGUAUCAGAAGUGAGAAUGCAGGAAUAAGUAGCGAGAAGGGGAGUGAGAAUCUCCCCCGCUGGAAGACCAAGGUUUUCAGGGU